Molecule: non-coding RNA, 29 nt
Filed under: Mus musculus (house mouse)
Lineage: Eukaryota; Metazoa; Chordata; Mammalia; Rodentia; Muridae
Source: RNAcentral
UACCAUGUAGGACUCAGUUCAGCCUGGAC